Molecule: ribosomal RNA, 465 nt
Filed under: uncultured bacterium
Lineage: Bacteria
Description: partial 16S ribosomal RNA
Rfam family: Bacterial small subunit ribosomal RNA
Source: RNAcentral
GACGAACGCUGGCGGCGUGCUUAACACAUGCAAGUCGAACGGAAAGGCCCUGCUUGCAGGGUACUCGAGUGGCGAACGGGUGAGUAACACGUGGGUGAUCUGCCCUGCACUUCGGGAUAAGCCUGGGAAACUGGGUCUAAUACCGGAUAGGAGCCAUUUUUAGUGUGAUGGUUGGAAAGUUUUUUCGGUGUAGGAUGAGCUCGCGGCCUAUCAGCUUGUUGGUGGGGUAAUGGCCUACCAAGGCGGCGACGGGUAGCCGGCCUGAGAGGGUGGACGGCCACAUUGGGACUGAGAUACGGCCCAGACUCCUACGGGAGGCAGCAGUGGGGAAUAUUGCACAAUGGGCGCAAGCCUGAUGCAGCGACGCCGCGGGGGGGAUGACGGCCUUCGGGUUGCAAACUCCUUUCGCUAGGGACGAAGCUUUUUGUGACGGUACCUAGAUAAGAAGCACCGGCUAACUACGUG